CUCCACCUCUCAACCAGGACUGCCUUAGAUUCUCAAUUUCUUCUUCUAGCUCUUCCCUUUUCUGCAGCGCGUCCUGGAGCGCCCGACGAAGUCGCUGGCUCUCAGCCUCCACCUCUCAACGCCUCUUCCUCAAGACCUCGGAUUCCGCCUCCGCGUCCGCGACGGCCCGCUGCUCGUAUGCCAGUUGAAUCUUCAGUUGUUGCAGCUCGGCUGU
This 214-nucleotide long non-coding RNA is filed under the name Elaeis guineensis (African oil palm). Its description in RNAcentral is "long non-coding RNA (EGUI_LNC064527)". The record is from RNAcentral. Lineage: Eukaryota; Viridiplantae; Streptophyta; Magnoliopsida; Arecales; Arecaceae.